RNAcentral lists this transfer RNA (85 nucleotides) under Caudoviricetes sp. RNAcentral's name for it is "tRNA-Tyr". The record is from RNAcentral. Lineage: Duplodnaviria; Heunggongvirae; Uroviricota; Caudoviricetes.
GUGCCCCGAGCGACGAAGGGAGCCGACUGUAAAUCGGUCAUAGUUCACGACCCACCGCAGGUUCGAGUCCUGUAGCAGCACGACA